Lemur catta (Ring-tailed lemur) is the source of this 1056-nucleotide RNA transcript. It is a transcript of the gene named sorting nexin-3-like, with no coding region annotated. The record is from RefSeq and is a predicted model, not a curated record. NCBI's taxonomy places the organism in Eukaryota, Metazoa, Chordata, Mammalia, Primates, Lemuridae. The transcript has 2 exons.
AGAGCUACUAAAAUUUCUUCUGGUGAGCACUGUUGUAUCAUUUUACACUCUCUCCUUCAUCUUUCAAGUUUGUUUGGCUCUUUGUAAUAAUCCUGAUGGUGCACAUCUCCCUGAUAACCAGUGAAGGUUUCCCAACUGUCAGCCGCUUGUUCUCAGGAGCAGAGACUCCAAUGUACGGAAGCUUUGCAUUGCCUACAAAUUCUCAAGGAGGGAGCCCACAAUGGCGGGGGCGGCUGCUACAGCGAAACGGCAGGGGCCGUGGUGGACACCGGCUGAUCACCAAGCAGCCAAACCUGAAUGACGCCUGUGGGCCACCCCGCAACUGCCUGGACAUCCAUGUAAAUAACCCGCAGACGGUGGGGGUCGGCCGGGGCCGCUUCACCACCUAUGACAUCAGGGUCAAGACAAAUCUUCCUAUUUUCAAGCUGAAGGAAUCUACUGUGAGAAGAAGAUACAGUGACUUUGAAUGGCUGAGAAGUGAAUUAGAAAGGGAAAGCAAGGUUGUAGUUCCCCCGCUCCCUGGAAAAGCAUUUUUGCGUCAACUUCCUUUUAGAGGAGAUGAUGGAAUAUUUGAUGACAAUUUUAUUGAGGAAAGGAAGCAAGGGCUGGAGCAAUUUAUAAACAAGGUCGCUGGUCAUCCUCUGGCACAGAAUGAACGUUGUCUUCACGUUUUUACAGGAUGAAAUAAUAGAUAAAAGCUAUACUCCAUCUAAAAUGAGACAUGCCUGAAACUUGGCAAGAAGAGGCAAAACGUGACUAUUAAUGAUUCAUAUGCACCAGUCAAGAAGUUUUAACUAACUUGUAGCAUGCUGCACAGAAACUGGUAUAACAUGCCUUCAGUACACUAACGCUCAUGCUCAGUUUUGUUUUGUUUUGUUUUGGCAAUUGACAAGAAGUUAAUUUGCUUUAGUGAAAAAUCUCUCCUUCCAACCUUUCUAUAUAAAUAGCUCUUCCUUACUGUUUUAAUGUGGUGCACACUAUAGCCUUACAAACUUGUUAUUCCAAUGUAAUCUGCAAUGUCCUAACUAAAGUUACUGACUUGGUCUUAUUUGCACA